Long non-coding RNA from Sapajus apella (tufted capuchin), 5796 nucleotides. RefSeq lists it as uncharacterized. The transcript has 5 exons. NCBI's taxonomy places the organism in Eukaryota, Metazoa, Chordata, Mammalia, Primates, Cebidae. The record is from RefSeq and is a predicted model, not a curated record.
GCAUGGCCUAACAGUGAGAAUUUCAGGUCUGUUUCAGGUUAGUGAGAUCAACUGCUUGCAAGAACUGAGAGACUGCAACAGAAAGAGGGGAAAAUGGGCAGCCAAUAUUGUGCAGUUGUGCCAUUUGAUGACUCUGCAAACAGGAAGAACAAGGAUCGAGAGGAUUUAUAGUAUGAGCUGGUAGAAUGGAGCUGGGGCUGGCUUCUUUUCCAUUUUUUUUUCACAAGUCUCCCCACCAGGACACAGGAGCUGCCCUUGGCCUGAAAUGUGGUUCGACCUACGGCUUCUGGGUGUAUCAGACUGGGGCAGCAGGGCACUGGUAUUCUGACAGUGAACAUUACACCUUUCAAAUGGACAUUGCAGAGAUUUAGAAUUGAGUCUCGUCAAAAUAUCCUGAUUUACAUGUUAGGAAAGUCAAGGGAGAAGUUACUUUAUCUUCCUUCUAACCCGUUGGAAAGAUUUUUAAGGAGACUUUACUGCAAUCGUUGUUUCUAUUGCUUAAGUGAAUUCCAAUUGCUACUGUAAAUUCCAUUCAUUAUUUAAAUAGCUUUAGCUCCCUUAAGAACCUAAGUGCCUUACAGAGAGGAAGGAGGUUUCAAAUCCAUGCAGGGUGGGGAACUGCUCAGGGGGCUCAAAUCCUGGGGCAUAGGGAGAGGGACUGCAGUGUUCAUGAUGGGUCUGUAGGGAGGCAGAUCAAGAGCCGGACUGAGUGAUGGUAGGAGCUGGGAGAAUUGCUAAGAUCAUCUGGGACUAGGAUGCUUUCCUAACUUUCCUGAUCCUAAGAAUCCUCUGAAUCAUUUGUCAAAAAUAGAUCUGCAGACCCUUCCUCUGGAGAUUCUAUUUUAGCAGAUCUGAAAUGGAGUCCAAAAUUUCAUACUUUCAAGAAAGACCACACUUGAUUUUGACAAGUAGACAUGUUUGGAAAAUACUGAUCUAUCAAGCUGCCUUGUUUUAUAGGUGAAUAAAUUGAGUCCCAAGGAGGGGUCUUUUCCCAGAUCACAGAGCCCCAGUUAGUGCUAGAGCUAAAUCCAGGACAAGAUCACUGAGACCUGAAUGGCAGGUUUAGGAUGCCCAAUUUGCAGCUGUGCUGCUGGGACUGGAACUGGUAGUGUCGUCUGCAGGUCCCUCGAAACAUUUGUUUAGCUGCUGACUUUCUGUAAGAACAGCUGAAGGCAGUGCUCCUGGAGUCAGACAGACCAGGUUCAAAUGCUGACUUUACUUUUGAUUCACUGAACAACCUUGUGCAAAUGGCUUAAUUUUUCUGAGCCAUUAAUAUGGCUAUUAAAUCAGAUAAUGUACCUGCCCCUAGUAGGUGCUCAAUAAAUGAUUAUUGCUUAUGAAGCGCUAGACCCCCUUCCAACUCAAAGAACUGGCCAGUAUGAACUCAUUUAAUAAACAAAACAAGCCUAUUAUUAACCCCAUUUUAAAAUGAAGAAAAUUGAAGAAAACUUGAGUGACUGGUUUAAAUCACGCAUAGCAAGUGAGAAGCAGAGGCGGAUGUGAACUCAUGUAGUCUGUAGCCCCCUUCUUUCCCUUGAGGGCAGGGUCUGGGUCCCACUUACCCCAGCAUGGCCCCUGGUGCAGGCCUCUGCACACAAGUAGAUAUCAAUAAGUGCCUGAUGAAUGAGAUUGAGAUUUAAAGACAGGAUGAGAAAUUCACUUCGAGUGUGGCUGAGGGUGGGGUAUUAGCAUGGGGCAGCCGGAGAUGGCAGUAGGAGAACCUAGGUAGAGAAGCCUGUACCCAGGGAAGAUGGGACAGAGCCUGCAGGAGCAAUCCCUGGGAGUUAAAGACUGGUUUCAGGCCGAACAAUUAGCAUUGAAAUGCGCAGAAGCCUGGAAGUUUUUUGCAUUGUCGCCUGCAAUAAGGAAAAAUCCAGACUGAACUGGCUGCUUGGAUCAGAAGUGAUGUAACGAGCUGGCUUUGGCCUAGUUUUUGUAAAGCAGGCGGGCCCCUGGCUCUCCCACACCAUUUUUUCCAGAAUUGGCAAGUGACAGCUACCGCCAUCUAGUGGUCCGAGUGGCACUGCACAGUCAUGGGGAAAAAAGGUUGGUCUGCACCACAGGGGCUAGAGGAUGCCCCUGGCUUCCGUCUCCCAGAAGAUGAGAGCCCCCAAUGGUGGUAGAGAGUUUAUUCUGUUCAAGGCAUGUUCUUACCUUUUGCUUCAUUAGAUCUUCUCAACAAUCCAGGAGGUCGUCAGGGGCCAUUAACUCCAUUUUACGGUGAGGCGACAAGUCCCUAAAGGAGAGGGGUCUUGUUCAGAGUUGUAUUGUCAGUUAUUAAUGGAUCCAGGACUGAAGCCCAAGCCUUCACAAUACAAUUUCUUAGCCCAGAAGUAAUACAGAGAGGUUGUCGGGUCCUUUAAAGUCUCCUUGAACAGGGAAUGGAAGAUGAUUAAUCCUGGAGGUCUUGGUCACGUCUCUGCAUGGAGGAAUGAAAUCUUGUCACAGCUUGAGAAGAGGUUGCCUGAGAGUAAAAGAGCACAUUGAGGAAAGUGAGCUAAGAAAGAGAAAGACAAACUCCUGAUGAGCUUGCUUAAAUACAUAGAUUCAGUAAUUCCUGAAGCUAGUAGUCAUCUCCCACAUUCUAGACUUUUCAGUGAGUUUCACCAGGCAAAGUCUGAGGUGUGGAAUGCAACCAGAAGCAUGCUGCUUGCUGUGGGCAAUGGAAUGUGAGUGGAAGUCACAGGUCACUUCAGAAUGGAGGCCUUCAGAGCAGGGCAGUUGCCCCUCUGUUAGCUGCCUGUUGAGAUACCCAUAUGGCAAGGAACUGGAAAAGGCCUGUGGCCAAUGGCCAGUGAGGAACUGAGAUCCUUGGCCCAAUGACCUACCAGGAACAGAACCCUGCCAACAACCACAUGGGAGAGUCUGGAAGCAAAUUUUCCUUUGGUUACACCUUCAGAUGAGAUUGCAGCUCCAUCCAGUAGCCUGACCAUAAUCUCAUGGCAGAACCUCAGCUAGAAGCACCCAGGUUUCUGCAUUUCUGACUACCGAUGGCUCUACCUGGCCCUUCCCUGACCUAACUUGUCCUGUGGCCCCCACCCAGAAGUAGAAUCCCUGGCUUACCAAACUAUCCUUGAAAAACCCUAGCCUCCAAAUUUUCAGAGAUUGAUUUGAGUAAUAUCUCUGUCUGCCAUGUGGUGUGGCUGGCCUUGUGUCUAGUAAACUGUUUCUUUAUUGCAAUGUCACUGUCUGGUUUUGUCUGUGCAGUGGGUAAGAAGAACCCAUUGGACACAGGCAUUAAGAUAGUUUCUUUGUAUUGUCUGAACUAGAAAUCUAUCCUUCAGCCAUUCAAUACUCUGCACAGGGACUCUGCCAGGCAGUGAUGAUCCAUCAUCAAGUCAGACAUGAUGCAAAGGGGAGAGAAUCCAGGGUCUGGAGAGGGACAGACGAUUUCAUAAACAGUAUAGGACCUGUGAGUAGUCCAAGUGUAACAGAGUUGCAUCCUAGCACUAAGGGAGAGAGAGAAAAAGGGCCCAAGCUUGCUGGAGGGUGUGAAUGAAGACUUCCUGGAGGAGGUGGCCCCUAGUGGAGCUUAAAGACUUGUGGUUAUUGUGAUUAUCAAAUAUUCCAGGCCUCUUCCUGCCCUGCCCUCCAACCCCACCUGCUAUUUCUCCUCCAACUCUUCCCUUCCAAGUUGCCCACUGCUGUCCAGCUUUUCCCUUCCCCAAACAUCUCUCCUUUCUCCUUCCAGUUAUCUCCCUUGCCCUCCCCCUUUCUUUUCUCCCUCCUCCCUUCUCCACUAGCCUCCACUGCUCUUUUCUCCCCUUCCCUCCCCUUCCCUGGCCCAGGAUGAAAGCCCUUCCACAGCCUCCCAGCUGAUGAAUUAUGCAUGCCUUUCAGCGGGUGUGCCUGGCAUCCAAUUAGGGCCUUGGCCAGGUUGAUCACUUAGACAGAUUAAAAUGUAAUUCAUUGGGGUUGACAUUUAAGCCCCAGUGUGAAUGGCGGUGAGGAGAAGUAAAUGCUCUCCGGGUACCUGGUGUGUAUUUGGGGGUAGGGGAGGCUCUCAGCUACCUGUACUUGCUUAACUAAUUCCAGCCUGGAGUAAUGUCAGUAUGCACACUGGGCCUCUGAUGCACAGUGGAACGGGGGAAAGGUCCAAGGCAGGCUUUGAGCCAAAGCAGGCUUUAAAAAAAUCAAAAAACUUUUUAUUUAGAACUAAUUUGAGAUUUACGCAAGAGUAGUGAUAUUAGUACAGAGAGUUCCCAUAUGCCCGUCACUGAGCUCUCCCUCAUGUUAACAUCUUAUGUAACCAUGGCACAAGGAUCAAAACUAAGAAAUUGAUGAGGGCACAAUACCAUUAACUAAACUACUAACGUUUUUCCCAUUUCACCCAGUUUCCCACCAGGGUCGUUUUUCUGUUCCAGGAUCCAGGCCAGGAGCCCACAUUCUAAAGCAACCCUGUGGGAUCGUGCCUCUCCAAGGACAGCAAUUCCUCCCUGAUCCUCAGACCAGCAUUUCUCAAACUUUAGGGUCCAGAGAGUUAUCAGGGAUUUUGUUUAAAGGACGUGUCCUUCCCUAGACAUUCUGAUGCAGCGAGUCUUAGGUAGAACCCUGGCACAUCCUUAACAAGCAUCCCCAGCCAGACAUACACUCCCAGCUAACUGGCUGGUUCCUGGAUUCUUUGUAAGUCAGGUCUCAACUUGCAGAUUUCCUUCAUCCCCUGGCUUAGCCUCAGAAAACAGCAGCGUUACCCCCACCAGCAGCUACUACCAGACCCUGGGGAGAUGGCUGGACUAACACAAAAUCCUGAUUUUGACCACUGGGUCGGACACAUCAUCUGCCAGGCCUAACCCCCUGGUUAAAUCCUACCUGAAGAGGAGAGAAAGUGACAUUUACCUGCCAGUCACAGAUACAUACAUAUUUUCAUGUAAUCUAAACAGUAACUGCUGUAAGUAGAUACUAUUUCCCCCAUCUUAUAGGUGUGGAAACUGAAAAAAGUGUUAUUAAGGGUAGUGAUAUUGCCAGAUUUUGCAAAUAAAAAUAUUAGAGCCCUAGUAAAAGUUGAACUUUAGAUAAGACAAUUCUGGAGACAUACUUAUAUUUUUAAAAGUUGUCAUUUAUUGGAAAUUUGCAUUUAACUGGACCUCCUGUAUUUUAUCUUGCAGCCCUGAGGAAGUGAUAAGUCUGUGGCUGCAGAGCUCGUCAGCAGGCCCGGAUGUGGAUCUCACUCUGAUGUCUACAGCACAGGGUACCCUGUGCUCGCCAGCUCAAUGCCUGCCUCGCCUAGUGAGCUGCAGGCAGCAUGAGGUAGGGGCUGUAUGGAUUUGUUUCCUGCUGUAUCUCCAAGGCCUGGCACCAUAUGGCAGUAGACACUUAAUAAAUAUUUGUUAAAUAAAUGAAUGACUAAAUGCAUUCAUGAAGGGACUCAAUACUCUCUUUAUACCAGGGAAGGCUCCAGAUGAUGAUGAUUAAACAGAAAGGCUGAGCUGACUAGGUUUAAACCACCUUUGCAAAAUUAUAAAUUAUAACUGAGGAAAUUAGGACAGUGAAAGAAAUCAGACCUAACUGACUCCAUCUUGCUUCUAACUUUUAAGCUGUCCUUGCUCAUUCCUGGGUAUAGACCAAACUAACUUUGGGAAGGGAUUCAGUUCAUGGUUUGACUCUGAAACAAAAUGGAUAAUAACCCUUUCCCCAAAAGACCCUCUUCUUGCCUGGGGACCAGUUUGCUUUUGCAGGACUAACUAAUUAGCUACAGAUUAGAAAUCACAGUUUAGGGGCCAUGCAGCCUCUGGCUCCAAGAGUCUGAACCUUCCCAAAUUGCUCCUGGGGAUAACAUCACUAAUGUAAAACCUAAAA